UUUAGCUGCUUGUUGAAAGUACUCGAGUCCAAAGAAGGAAAAUGCGAUAACGAUGGUGCAGGUUCUUAGCUUAAACCUUCCCAGUUCCUGCACCCGACCCCAACCAAUUGGUAUCCGAUUCCACAACAAGACCAGCGAGCCAAAUGGAAAACACAGCUGGAUUUCUCUGCGGCAGGAACUGAAGUGCAAAGGCAAGUUCACUUGCCUUUUUUCAGGCGGUAGCAGCAGCAGAGAGGAACAAGCUAGGAAAGCAUUAGAAAGUGCACUUGGAGGAAAGAAAAAUGAAUUUGAGAAAUGGAAUGAGGAAAUUAAGAAGAGAGAGGAAGCAGGUGGUGGGGGAGGUUCUGGUGGAGGAGGCUGGUUUGGAUGGGGUGGACGAUUUGGCUGGUCCAAUGGUGACAAUUUCUGGCCAGAAGCACAGCAAACAAGUCUUACCAUCCUAGGUAUUGUUGCCAUGUAUCUUGUGGUUGCAAAAGGUGAAGUGAUGUUUGCAGUCAUCAUUAAUCCUUGGCUGAAUGCUUUGCGAGGAACAAGAAAUGGGCUCACUUUUGUAUCAUCAAAAAUCUUGAAAAAGAUAUCUCCAGAUUCUCCUGCUGAUUUUGUUGAUUCAUCAAAGAAGGAAGUUUAUAUUCAGGUCUCUGCUAAAGAGAGAGUUUUAAGAAAAUGGGGAAGUGAUUGAUCGGUUAUCUAAGGUUUGCACAUCUUUUCAUAUUUUCACCCCUCCUUGUGUCAGUAGUGUGGCAAUUGUGCUUAUUUUGUUUAUGAAAUUACUCUGAACCACUGCAUAGUGCUUAUUUUGUAAGAGCAUCUCAAUUCCGUACUUUGUUUUUGAAAUCUCAAAAUAUUCUGGUCACUGGAAUUUGAAGAAGAAAUCUCCCUCCCCUUCCUUUUUCAUUGGGAACAGUUGGUAAGGUUCGAUGAAAUGCGCAAGGAAAUCAAUGUUUAUGUUCAAUUAAUUUUAAUUUUCUCCCCCAUAAUAGGAACAUUGAAGAUUGUUUCCAUGUUACAACAAAUGAAAAUGGACAUGUAUUCUCA
This 1035-nucleotide unclassified non-coding RNA is filed under the name Hevea brasiliensis (rubber tree). The record is from RNAcentral. Lineage: Eukaryota; Viridiplantae; Streptophyta; Magnoliopsida; Malpighiales; Euphorbiaceae.